GACGGGGGUCGCAAGCGUUAUCCGGAUUCACUGGGCGUAAAGGGUCCGUAGGCGGUUAUGCAAGUUACUGGUGCAAUAUUCUGGCUCAACCGGAAGAAUGCCUUCGAAACUGCUUGACUUGAGGGAGGGAGAGGUAGGAGGAAUUCCCUGAGUAGCGGUGAAAUGCGUAGAUAUAGGGAAGAACACCGGCGGCGAAAGCGGUCUACUGGAACUGAGCUGACACUGAGUGACGAAAGCUAGGGGAGCAAACCGG
Molecule: ribosomal RNA, 253 nt
Filed under: uncultured bacterium
Lineage: Bacteria
Description: partial 16S ribosomal RNA
Rfam family: Bacterial small subunit ribosomal RNA
Source: RNAcentral